GCCCGUAGGUAAUAAUCUUCAUUUUUUUUAAUGCUCUCCUCAACAGCGGAUGAAAGUUGCAGUUGAGCUUAGAAUCCGGCAAUUAAUAGUCGUCUCAUUAUCUUGCUCUUAAUUGUUCUCACCUUUCCCAUCCCGUAACGGUUCAAAAACCCCAGGCGUCCUUGGAUUCUUUCUGCAAAAACAUAAUAUUUUCCCAAUUCAAUUGAUUAACGAUUAUUUGGCGGCUUUGCAAAACCAAAACGCUCAUCCCAGCAUUGUAUCAUCUCCAUAAAAUUUCAAAUCCAAUUCGAGAACAGAAUCCAUUCUACCGGUUCAACAUUUUUCCUGCUUUAGGUUGAAUAAUGUUGCAGAAAUUGUUAUCUGAUGUAAUGGUUUUUAAGAAAAAAUCAGUAGCUAUCAACAGAACACACCAGGCGGCAUUGCAGAUGAAUUACAAACCCCGGGUAGCAUUUUUCGGUUGCCAAGGACCACUUCAAGAGUUUGGAUCCCACGACGAAGGAAAAUCAAGCAUCCUUUCUUUUCGGGUUAUUCAGAAAUUCGAAAUUUGGACUUUAUGACCACGAGCAGUGUUGCUAACCCGAAUUCCGACCAGCAAGCAAUGAGAAGAGGGGCUUAUUUCGGUGGAACACCUCCCUCACAGCUUUAGAUGCUUUUUUUUGUCGAUUAUUUCCCAUAAUUUUUUGUCUCACUGAGUUCAAAGCCCUCGAACCGAAGCAUGCAUCUUAUAAGUAACUUUUACUGUCUCUAUGUUGAUUCCAAUGUUAUUAACAGUUUUGGGUCCCAAAAAUACUAAAACUCGAUUAGCUACAAUUUAUGUUGUGUUAUGUUCUUGGUAGUAUUGAUAUUCCUUACAUAGAUAACCAUAUGUCAUUAAAUAGAUAAUCAUAUUUGUUUCAUUCCUUUAGUGACUCAACUGUUAAAUGUUGAAGAUUUGCAUUUCUUAUAAGAAAAAAACCCACCAGAAAUGGUUGGUAGCACAACAUAUCAAGCCAGCAAUUAUACGCAAAGAACUAUCAGUCGAAACAAUUAAACGAUAAAGAUCUGACACAUGACUAACAAGACCUUCUAUAAUGGUUGGUGUUAAAAAGAUUCAGUAAAAUCACCGUCUUAGUUUGUCAGGUAUGCUAAAUACAAAGGGCUGGUGGGCAAUCCGGCCGAAUGCGCGAGAUCACAAUUGAGAAUAUUAGGGGAUCAACAAUGAGGAUUUGCUCUAUGGGGUUCUGCUACUAAUCAAGUUGGGAAUUUCCCAAUUGAUUGCGACUCGAAUACAUAUCAUGUGCUAGUUGUUGUUUGCUCCACUUUUAUGAAGAAAUACCAAGGAAAACGGGACGGAAGCGGCUGAAACACGCACUACUAACUAUCUUCGGGUCGCGUAUUGAUUACCAGAUUACAAGCACAAAUUCUAACAACAAAUGGAAAUGUCAGUCAAGUGUACUCGGUGGGAAACAUCAGUUACCGCGGCUGUCAUUUGGAGAUCUCAUUAUCAAGAAUUUAUGCAAGAUCUCCAAGAUUAGAACCCUCUACUCAUCUGCCGAACAUAUCAAAUUGGAUUGAAUGCUAACAUAUGGAGUUUUUAACAUCAUACAAAUCAGAUAUGAAGUGUGUUUCGUCCAUUGUGUUAAGUUUAUUUUUCCCUAAGUUUUUUAUUUAUCUCUAAUUUACUGUUAGACUUUUG
Long non-coding RNA from Papaver somniferum (opium poppy), 1675 nucleotides. RefSeq lists it as uncharacterized. NCBI's taxonomy places the organism in Eukaryota, Viridiplantae, Streptophyta, Magnoliopsida, Ranunculales, Papaveraceae. The record is from RefSeq and is a predicted model, not a curated record. The transcript is spliced from 5 exons.